GUGUUGUAUGAAAGGAGAGACGGUUAGCACUCCCCUUGACAAGGAUGGAAUACACAUAUGGCUGAGGCACUCAGCUUUCUAAGCUACUCAACCACAUUUUUUU
Thrips palmi is the source of this 103-nucleotide small nuclear RNA. Lineage: Eukaryota; Metazoa; Arthropoda; Insecta; Thysanoptera; Thripidae. The record is from RefSeq and is a predicted model, not a curated record.